This 253-nucleotide ribosomal RNA is filed under the name uncultured prokaryote. Its description in RNAcentral is "partial 16S ribosomal RNA". It matches the Rfam family "Bacterial small subunit ribosomal RNA", at positions 524 to 776 of the family's 1533-position model. The record is from RNAcentral.
GACAGAGGGUGCAAACGUUGCUCGGAAUUACUGGGCGUAAAGCGCGUGUAGGCGGACUGGUGUGUCGGAUGUGAAAUCCCCAGGCUCAACCUGGGAAUUGCAUUUGAGACUGCGUAGCUAGGGUGCGGAAGAGGGAAGCGGAAUUUCCGGUGUAGCGGUGAAAUGCGUAGAUAUCGGAAGGAACACCAGUGGCGAAAGCGGCUUCCUGGUCCAGCACCGACGUUCAGGCACGAAAGCGUGGGGAGCAAACAGG